Molecule: transfer RNA, 87 nt
Filed under: Acidobacteriota bacterium
Lineage: Bacteria; Pseudomonadati; Acidobacteriota
Also listed under: 1 other name
Description: Acidobacteria bacterium tRNA-Ser
Rfam family: tRNA
About the family: Transfer RNA (tRNA) molecules are approximately 80 nucleotides in length. Their secondary structure includes four short double-helical elements and three loops (D, anti-codon, and T loops).
Source: RNAcentral
GGAGACGUGGCAGAGCCAGGUUUAUCGCGCGCGGUUGCUACCCGCGCGGGCCGAAAGGUUCCAUAGGUUCAAAUCCUAUCGUCUCCG